GGAUGGACGAUAAAAAUAAGUUUAUCCCAAAAGCAGUCGCUCCUGAAAAUAGAAAGACAAGAAUCUAUCCCUCUUCAGAACCUAAGGAAACGGAUAAACCAAAA
RNAcentral lists this long non-coding RNA (104 nucleotides) under Centruroides sculpturatus (bark scorpion). Its description in RNAcentral is "uncharacterized LOC111619149, transcript variant X2". Lineage: Eukaryota; Metazoa; Arthropoda; Arachnida; Scorpiones; Buthidae. The record is from RNAcentral.